This 478-nucleotide ribosomal RNA is filed under the name uncultured bacterium. RNAcentral's name for it is "partial 16S ribosomal RNA". It matches the Rfam family "Bacterial small subunit ribosomal RNA", at positions 28 to 507 of the family's 1533-position model. The record is from RNAcentral.
GACGAACGCUGGCGGCGUGCUUAACACAUGCAAGUCGAACGUGAUUUUUGUGGAAAUUCUUUCGGGAAUGGAAAUGAAAUGAAAGUGGCGAACGGGUGAGUAACACGUGAGCAACCUACCUUACACAGGGGGAUAGCCGUUGGAAACGACGAUUAAUACCGCAUGAGACCACAGAAUCGCAUGAUAUAGGGGUCAAAGAUUUAUCGGUGUAAGAAGGGCUCGCGUCUGAUUAGCUAGUUGGAAGGGUAAAGGCCUACCAAGGCGACGAUCAGUAGCCGGUCUGAGAGGAUGAACGGCCACAUUGGAACUGAGACACGGUCCAAACUCCUACGGGAGGCAGCAGUGGGGAAUAUUGCACAAUGGGGGGAACCCUGAUGCAGCGACGCCCCGUGAGCGAAGAAGGUUUUCGAAUCGUAAAGCUCUGUCCUAUGAGAAGAUAAUGACGGUAGCAUAGGAGGAAGCCCCGGCUAAAUACGUG